AGAACGAACGCUGGCGGCAGGCUUAACACAUGCAAGUCGAACGGUUGUAGCAAUACAGCAGUGGCGCACGGGUGAGUAACGCGUGGGAACGUGCCUUUCAGUACGGGAUAACGUCGGGAAACUGACGCUAAUACCGUAUAUUCCCUCCGGGGGAAAGAUUUAUCGCUGAAAGAUCGGCCCGCGUAAGAUUAGGUAGUUGGUGGGGUAAUGGCCUACCAAGCCUACGAUCUUUAGCUGGUCUGAGAGGAUGAUCAGCCACACUGGAACUGAGACACGGUCCAGACUCCUACGGGAGGCAGCAGUGGGGAAUAUUGGACAAUGGGCGAAAGCCUGAUCCAGCCAUGCCGCGUGUGUGAUGAAGGCCUUAGGGUUGUAAAGCACUUUUGUCAGGGAAGAUAAUGACGGUACCUGAAGAAUAAGCACGGCUAACUUCGUGCCAGCAGCCGC
RNAcentral lists this ribosomal RNA (447 nucleotides) under uncultured bacterium. RNAcentral's name for it is "SSU rRNA". It matches the Rfam family "Bacterial small subunit ribosomal RNA", at positions 26 to 518 of the family's 1533-position model. The record is from RNAcentral.